GCUAUUUAUGUUCAUAAAUAAUUUUAUGCCCAUUUCUUGUGUAUUGAAAGUGGGACAAGCGAGAUAACUCUAAUACUUUUGUUCGGUCUUGUUUUUGGAACAGCCUCAGUAUAUGAUUGAGUACAAUCAGUGGCAGCGCCAUAUUUGUAUGGAAAUACAAUUUUAUUUUUGAACAAGCAAGUUGGCUUACAGCGUGUCCAGUGCACAGUUAAUACAUUUGAUGGACUUCUCGUGGUGUGAUCUUUUGGAUUUCCAAGGAAUUCAGCACAUUUAGAGCCAGUCCAAGAGUGGGAAAUACAGAAAGGGACCCUUGUGAUCAAGCAUUUAUUUUUACUUAGAACAAGAUGAGUACCGGUAAUAGGCCUACAGACUAUGGGGUGGUUACAAAGCCAGUUAAUUUACAACAAGAGGAAGUCGCAAGUGACACUCCAACAAGCAACAAUCAUUCAAGCCAAUUAGAAGAUGGCAAUUUUACCAAGUAAUUCAGGUACUAAUUAACAAACAGCAUCUAAGGAGUUAUCGCUUAGCGCAGGGGUUAAGAAUCCCAGUAUCAUUAAGCCAUUGGGUCUCGGUGUAGAUUCUAAGAUAAAAAGCAAAAUCUGGGGAAAUGAAUUUGUUGAUUUGGAAAUUUGUUAGGAAUCAAAAAUAAGAAUAAUUAUAAAGGCUUUGAAAUCAGUGAAAUCUUAGAAGGGGAGUGUGAAAUAAAGCCCAAAAAGCAAACAUUAAAUUCAGAAAUCCAUAGUGAGGCAUUGGCUAUCAGUUUGGGUAAAUCCAAAGUAGGUCUAAAUUCUGGGUUUCUGGUAUUCAUAAUCAAUUCAAAUCUGUUCAAUAUCAGGAGGUAGAAGAUGCAGUAGGUUGAAUGCGCAUAUAUGAGAAAAAUUGCGGGUUGUUUAAAUUGGAUAUUCAGAAUGCAUAUAAAAUUGUUCCAAUACAUUGUUCAGAUUGGGAAUUGUUGGGUUUUACUUUAGAAAAUGAAUACUAUUUUGACAAAACUCUCCCUAUGUGACUUAAUUUUUCUUGUCAGUUAUUUGAAGAAUUCAGUACUGCAGUACAUUGGGUAUGUGAAAACAAGUUAGGCUUACAUGGGAGACUAGUUCAUGUUUUUGUUCAAGGAUAUUGGUAUUCCAAUUAAGGAGUUAAAAACUGUCCUUCCCUGUGCUUCGCUUAUAUGUUUGGGUAUUGAGUUGGAUUCUAUUUUGAUGGAGUCAUGUUUAGCACAAGACAAGUUAACUAAAGCUAGACACCUAAUACAAAUUCACAAGUCUAAAAAAUCUAUAACAUUACUAGAGUUACAGUCUGUAAUAGGUCUGUUAAACUUCGCCUGUUCAGUGGUCAUUCCAGGACGCCCAUUUCCUAGGCGGCUAAUUGAUCUGUUAAUUGAGUUAACUCAACCUUUUCAUCAUAGGAGAUUGAAUAAGGAAGCUCGAGCGGAUUUAAAUGCUUGGGGAUUGUUUUUGGAGCAUUUCAAUGGCAAGUCACUGUUUUCAUCAGAGCAAUGAGACAAUUCUGACUCAUUACAAUUGUAUAUGGAUACAAGUAACAUUGGUUUCUGUGGUUAUUUACGAAAUCAGUAUUUUAGUGGUAUAUGGCCUAAAACCUGGAAAACCUAUCAUAUUACAAUAAAAGGAGUUAUUUCCCAGUGUACUUGCAGUUCAGCUUUGGGCAGAUCAACAAGCUUAGUGGACCCUAGGUUACCUAUAACACCAAUCAUUCUUAAACAGCUGAUAGCUUCUUUACAAUAUACAACAAGUUUAUAUUUUGUACAGGUACUUAUGAAAAGUGUGUAUUUAGUGGCAUUUCACUGUUUUCUUAGGAUUGUAAUUUACAGCUUCAAAAGACAGAAAUUGUCAUUUAUUGACAAUACAAUCUGUACAUUUUUUAGAAAAUACUUCAGACUGCCCAGUAGGGUUGGAGUUGACUAUGAAAACUUUCAAACAUGGUAAAGGUCAAUCUUACACUGUGCAUGUGAAAAAUGACAGCAAAGAUAACACAAUAUGUCCUGUUCAGGCCCUAUGGACAUAUUUUCAAUUACGAAAACCAACUUCUGGUCCUCUUUUUACUUUCAUGGAUGGGUCACCGGUGUCACGGAAAUAUUGUACAGAUCAGUUAUGUUUGCCAUUAAAUUGGUGUGGGUUAGAUUGUAAAUGAUAUAAAGGUCACAGCUUUAGAAUCAGAGCAGCAACAACGGCUUUUUCCAGUGGAGUUCUAGAGCAAAAAAUUAAAUCAAUGGGGCGGUGGUCAUUAGACGCUUUCAAAAAGUACAUUCGAAUCCCCUUUGUAAACCUUUGACUGCUCACGAGGUGAGGUUGAGGUAAAGAGUUAUGACCAUGGUGACAAGAGCAUCUGGUCAGAUUAUAAUUCAUGACAUUUCAAAUCUACUCUGAGUUGAGUUCCUAUAAAAUAGUGAGUAAUUUGUUAACUUGUUUGGUUGAUUGCAAUCAAGUGUUUUAAUUACUGGUGUCACAAAAUUAUACCCAAUCAUGGUGACAAGAGCAUCUGGUCAGAUUAUAUUUCAUGACAUUUCAAAUCUACUUUGAGUUGAGUUCCUAUAAAAUAGUGAGUAAUUUGUUAACUUGUUUGGUUGAUUGCAAUCAAGUGUUUUAAUUACUAGUGUCACAAAAUUAUACCCAAUCAUGGUGACAAGAGCAUCUGGUCAGAUUAUAUUUCAUGACAUUUCAAAUCUACUUUGAGUUGAGUUCCUAUAAAAUAGUGAGUAAUUUGUUAACUUGUUUGGUUGAUUGCAAUCAAGUGUUUUAAUUACUGGUGUCACAAAAUUAUACCCAAUCAUGGUGACAAGAGCAUCUGGUCAGAUUAUAAUUCAUGACAUUUCAAAUCUACUUUGAGUUGAGUUCCUAUAAAAUAGUGAGUAAUUUAUUUGGUUGAUGUCAAUCAAGUGUGUUAAUUACUGGUGUCACAAAUUAUACCCAAUCAUGGUGACAAGAGCAUCUGAUUGUAAAAUAAAUAUCAAACCAGUAAUAGAGAAUAUGAGGGUUUGGACAAUUGUCAAAAUAUGUGAACAAGUGUGACACAUUAUCUGUUUCAGGAAAGAGGACAUUGGCUUAGAAAAACAGUUUCAACCAUGAUGACAGGAGCAUCUGGUUGUAUCAAGUAGUAAAGUUUUGAUGUAAUUAUGCAUCUACAAGUGUGACACAUUAUCUGUUUCAGGAAAGAGGACAUUGGCUUAGAAAAACAUUUUCAACCAUGAUGACAGGAGCAUCUGGUUGUAUCAAGAAGUAGUAAAGUUUUGACGUAAUUAUGCAUCUAACAAAGUUUGUGUACAAUGCAUAAUAAUAUGGUAUUGUUUACAAGAGUUGAAAUACUUUCUUUGUAUGUUGGUAAUGUGUUAUUUUUCAUUGUUUGUAUCCGGUUUGUAUGAAUUUUAGGGAUACUUCUAUUGUAGUAAGAUUAAGACUCGCACUAGGGUUGGGUGGGGAUUACUGCUGAUGACAGUUCAGAUCUGCCUGUCAUUGGCAGUAAGUGGCAUUUUUACCUUACCCCACCUUUGAUGUAAAAAUUUUAUACAGUAAUGUUUUGAUCUAUUUCGAAGUUGCAUGUAGUGAUAUUGGUAUCACUGCAAGGUUUAUAAAUGUAAAUCUAUCAAACUACAUUUUCAUUUUUGUAAUAGUUUUACAAAAUUGUCAUUUGGUAAUAAAUGACCUUUUUCAACUUCAAACGGUGUUGUGUUGGUAUCAGAUAGUAUAAUAUUACAUCAAACAGAGCAACCUUUAGUGCGAGUAUCAGGAAGAUGGGCAUAAAUGCUAUUUAUGUUCAUAAAUAAUUUUAUGCCCAUUUCUUGUGUAUUGAAAGUGGGACAAGCGAGAUAACUCUAAUACUUUUGUUCGGUCUUGUUUUUGGAACAGCCUCAGUAUAUGAUUGAGUACAAUCAGUGGCAGCGCCAUAUUUGUAUGGAAAUACAAUUUUAUUUUUGAACAACCCUCCCACCUCUCCCUAAUAGUUAAAAAAUUAUAGUGUUCUUAAUUGAUGUGAAUAAUUUGACAAUAUUUUUCCAUAUUUCUUUUUUCAGUAGGUAAGGCAUUUUUACCUUACCCCACCUUUGAUGUAAAAAUUUUAUACAGUAAUGUUUUGAUCUAUUUCGAAGUUGCAUGUAGUGAUAUUGGUAUCACUGCAAGGUUUAUAAAUGUAAAUCUAUCAAACUACAUUUUCAUUUUUGUAAUAGUUUUACAAAAUUGUCAUUUGGUAAUAAAUGACCUUUUUCAACUUCAAA
This is a long non-coding RNA of Saccostrea cuccullata (small rock oyster), 4225 nucleotides long. RefSeq lists it as uncharacterized. NCBI's taxonomy places the organism in Eukaryota, Metazoa, Mollusca, Bivalvia, Ostreida, Ostreidae. The record is from RefSeq and is a predicted model, not a curated record. The transcript is spliced from 5 exons.